This 236-nucleotide ribosomal RNA is filed under the name uncultured Streptococcus sp. Its description in RNAcentral is "partial 16S ribosomal RNA". It matches the Rfam family "Bacterial small subunit ribosomal RNA", at positions 1146 to 1382 of the family's 1533-position model. Lineage: Bacteria; Bacillati; Bacillota; Bacilli; Lactobacillales; Streptococcaceae. The record is from RNAcentral.
GGACUGCCGGUAAUAAACCGGAGGAAGUGGGGAUGACGUCAAAUCAUCAUGCCCCUUAUGACCUGGGCUACACACGUGCUACAAUGGUUGGUACAACGAGUUGCGAGUCGGUGACGGCGAGCUAAUCUCUUAAAGCCAAUCUCAGUUCGGAUUGUAGGCUGCAACUCGCCUACAUGAAGUCGGAAUCGCUAGUAAUCGCGGAUCAGCACGCCGCGGUGAAUACGUUCCCGGGCCUU